UACGUAGGGUGCGAGCGUUGUCCGGAAUUAUUGGGCGUAAAGAGCUCGUAGGCGGUGUGUCACGUCGGCCGUGAAAACCUGCAGCUUAACUGUGGGCGUGCGGUCGAUACGGGCAUCACUGGAGUUCGGCAGGGGAGACUGGAAUUCCUGGUGUAGCGGUGAAAUGCGCAGAUAUCAGGAGGAGCACCGGUGGCGAAGGCGGGUCUCUGGGCCGAUACUGACGCUGAGGAGCGAAAGCGUGGGGAGCGAACAGG
This 254-nucleotide ribosomal RNA is filed under the name uncultured bacterium. RNAcentral's name for it is "partial 16S ribosomal RNA". It matches the Rfam family "Bacterial small subunit ribosomal RNA", at positions 524 to 776 of the family's 1533-position model. The record is from RNAcentral.